UACGUAGGGUGCGAGCGUUAAUCGGAUUUACUGGGCGUAAAGCGUGCGCAGGCGGCCCGUUAAGACAGGUGUGAAAUCCCUGGGCUCAACCUAGGAAUUGCGCUUGUGACUGGCGGGCUCGAGUACGGUAGAGGGGGGUGGAAUUCCUGGUGUGGCAGUGAAAUGCGUAGAGAUCAGGAGGAACACCGAUGGCGAAGGCAGCCCCCUGGGCCUGUACUGACGCUCAUGCACGAAAGCGUGGGGAGCAAACAGG
RNAcentral lists this ribosomal RNA (253 nucleotides) under uncultured microorganism. Its description in RNAcentral is "partial 16S ribosomal RNA". It matches the Rfam family "Bacterial small subunit ribosomal RNA", at positions 524 to 776 of the family's 1533-position model. The record is from RNAcentral.